AGGAAAAGAAACCAACAGGGAUUGCCCCAGUAACGGCGAGUGAAGCGGCAACAGCUCAAAUUUGAAAUCUGGCCCCCCGGCCCGAGUUGUAAUUUGGAGAGGAUGCUUUUGGCGCGGCGCCGUCCGAGUUCCUUGGAACAGGACGCCACAGAGGGUGAGAGCCCCGUACGGACGGACGCCUAGCCUCUACAAAGCUCCUUCGACGAGUCGAGUAGUUUGGGAAUGCUGCUCAAAAUGGGAGGUAAAUUUCUUCUAAAGCUAAAUACCGGCCAGAGACCGAUAGCGCACAAGUAGAGUGAUCGAAAGAUGAAAAGCACUUUGAAAAGAGGGUUAAAAAGUACGUGAAAUUGUUGAAAGGGAAGCGCCUGUGACCAGACUUGCGCCCCGUGGACCAUCCGGCGUUCUCGCCGGUGCACUCUGCGGGGCGCAGGCCAGCAUCGGUUCUCCUAGGGGGAUAAAGGCCGCGGGAACGUAGCUCCUUCGGGAGUGUUAUAGCCCGCGGUGGCAUGCCCCUGGGGGGACCGAGGACCGCGCUUCGGCAAGGAUGCUGGCGUAAUGGUCACCAGCGACCCGUCUUGAAACACGGACCAAG
Molecule: ribosomal RNA, 592 nt
Filed under: Jamesreidia nigrocarpa
Lineage: Eukaryota; Fungi; Ascomycota; Sordariomycetes; Ophiostomatales; Ophiostomataceae
Description: eukaryotic LSU rRNA
Rfam family: Eukaryotic large subunit ribosomal RNA
Source: RNAcentral